This 321-nucleotide ribosomal RNA is filed under the name Patelloida sp. ESU 3. Its description in RNAcentral is "partial 12S ribosomal RNA". Lineage: Eukaryota; Metazoa; Mollusca; Gastropoda; Lottiidae. The record is from RNAcentral.
GCACUAAUCCUCCCAGGGGAACCUGGCCCUUAAUUCGAUGAUCCACGAACCUCUUACCUUCCCUAGCUUUACGUGCCUACAAAGCCGUAAAACCCAGCUUGCAUACCGCCGUUGUUCAGCCUAUACCGCAAGGGGACACAAAUAGGCAACGCAGCAGGCUAAGCCUGCUACCAAUUCAGGUAAACGUGUAGCCCAUGGGAAGGGGCUGCUGGGUUGCACUGUCAACUUUCCGCGGAUCUUCACGCAAAUGUGUGAAGAGAAGAAGGACUUGGAAGUAAUGACUUCACCCACAGAAGUUGUGAAUGCGGCUCUAGUGCGUGU